RNAcentral lists this ribosomal RNA (874 nucleotides) under Pestalotiopsis sp. HKUCC 7982. RNAcentral's name for it is "LSU rRNA". It matches the Rfam family "Eukaryotic large subunit ribosomal RNA", at positions 61 to 960 of the family's 3401-position model. The record is from RNAcentral. Lineage: Eukaryota; Fungi; Ascomycota; Sordariomycetes; Amphisphaeriales; Sporocadaceae.
GAAACCAACAGGGAUUGCCUUAGUAACGGCGAGUGAAGCGGCAACAGCUCAAAUUUGAAAUCUGGCCCUUGGGUCCGAAUUGUAAUUUGUAGAGGAUGAUUUUGGUGCGGUAUCUUCCGAGUUCCUUGGAACAGGACGCCUUAGAGGGUGAGAGCCCCGUACGGUUGAAUGCCUAGCCUCUGUAAAUCUCCUUCGACGAGUCGAGUAGUUUGGGAAUGCUGCUCUAAAUGGGAGGUAAAUUUCUUCUAAAGCUAAAUAUUGGCCAGAGACCGAUAGCGCACAAGUAGAGUGAUCGAAAGAUGAAAAGCACUUUGAAAAGAGGGUUAAAUAGCACGUGAAAUUGUUGAAAGGGAAGGAUUUGUGACCAGACUUUUUCUGGGCGGAUCAUCCGGGGUUCUCUCCGGUGCACUUUGCCCAGUAAAGGCCAGCAUCGGUUUUCGGCGGGGGAUAAAAGCAGUAGGAAUGUGGCUCUCUUCGGGGAGUGUUAUAGCCCAUUGUAUAAUACCCUGCUGGGGACCCAGGUACGCGCUUCUGCAAGGAUGCUGGCGUAAUGGUUAUCAAUCACCCGUCUUGAAACACGGACCAAGGAGUCGAACAUUUGUGCGAGUGUUUGGGUGUUAAACCCUCACGCGUAAUGAAAGUGAACGGAGGUGAGAGCCCUUACGGGUGCAUCAUCGACCGAUCCUGAAGUUUUCGGAUGGAUUUGAGUAAGAGCAUAACUGUUCGGACCCGAAAGAUGGUGAACUAUGCGUGGAUAGGGUGAAGCCAGAGGAAACUCUGGUGGAGGCUCGCAGCGGUUCUGACGUGCAAAUCGAUCGUCAAAUCUGCGCAUGGGGGCGAAAGACUAAUCGAACCAUCUAGUAGCUGGUUACCG